GGGCUCCCUGACUGGCUUCCCGCUGAUCUGGCACCAGCCGGGCCAAUCAGAGAGAGCCGCCAUGGGUCCGUCAAAUAUAGUCCAUGAGCACGUGUGGCGUGGUGGACACUGAACCCUCUGGCUUGUCUUGGGAGACCAACAGCACCUGGUCCAGACAUGGAGAGUCGGAGGGUGUCAUAGCAGUGGGGAGUGGGCAGAAGAGACAACUUAACUUAGAGCUCGCUCAGGCAGAGAGGCAGAGGGAGACAUAGACUGACACACACACACACAGAGACAGACUGACAGUACUGACGGUGAGAGAGAGAGACGGACAGACGGAAACGGAGCGAGACAGCGGUAGAGGAAGAGGAGCAGGACCUCAGCUUGUGGGUUAUCGGCUACAGUGUAAGAAGGACGCCCCGCUGAGCUGCAGGACUGACUGAUAGAGCCUCCAAGGGUUCAGAGAGCACAUUGAACCAGAGCAAUAUGGAGGUCAGAGUUCACCGAACACGAGCAGCAACGUUUUACUCCAUUUGUCAACUAUUUGCAGUUCUCUGCGGACCUUUACUUCAUGUCCAGGGUCAAG
Long non-coding RNA from Gadus morhua (Atlantic cod), 565 nucleotides. RefSeq lists it as uncharacterized. The transcript has 3 exons. The record is from RefSeq and is a predicted model, not a curated record. Lineage: Eukaryota; Metazoa; Chordata; Actinopteri; Gadiformes; Gadidae.